RNAcentral lists this ribosomal RNA (473 nucleotides) under uncultured bacterium. RNAcentral describes it as "SSU rRNA". It matches the Rfam family "Bacterial small subunit ribosomal RNA", at positions 26 to 518 of the family's 1533-position model. The record is from RNAcentral.
AGGACGAACGCUGGCGGCGCGCCUAACACAUGCAAGUCGAGCGAUAACCAGGGCUUGCCCUGGGGACAGCGGCGAACGGGUGCGUAACACGUGAGCAACCUGCCCCAAAGACCGGGACAACCCGAGGAAACUCGGACUAAUACCGGAUGCCCUCACCGGGCCGCAUGGUCUGGUGAGGAAAUGGAUUCCGCUUUGGGAUGGGCUCGCGGUCUAUCAGCUUGUUGGUGGGGUAACGGCCUACCAAGGCGACGACGGAUAGCUGGUCUGAGAGGACGAUCAGCCACACUGGGACUGAGACACGGCCCAGACUCCUACGGGAGGCAGCAGUGGGGAAUCUUGCGCAAUGGGGGAAACCCUGACGCAGCGACGCCGCGUGCGGGAUGAAGGCCUUCGGGUUGUAAACCGCUUUCAGCAGGGACGAAAUUGACGGUACCUGCAGAAGAAGGCCCGGCCAACUACGCGCCAGCAGCCGC